AUUAAUGCUUUAUAAAUGAUGAAUUAAUUGUUUACUAAUGUUUAACUAAUGAUUAAUAGCAUGCCAUUAUUAUAAAGUGUUACCCAUUUUAAAACUUUUGUAUAGCUUCUGGUGUUUUAAGGUCAAUUCUGUUCUUCCAGAUGCCUCUGUCUAAUAAAGAGAGGCAGAGACUGUUCAGAGCCAGGAUAAACACAGAUGCAGACGCUAGCGCUGAGUAUCUUGCAAAAAAGAGAGCAAGGUAUUAAGGUGAUGAUUCAGUGGAAUAAUAAUGUGUCAGUAACAAGCAAACUUGAAAUAUUAAUCGAAAUAGGUUCACACUCAUUUGCAAUAAGCCUAAAUGUUUUAGCUGUGUAAUGUGUUAUUACACAUUAUACACUAUACCCCUGGCCAUUGUUUAUGAAGCAUUAUAAUUUUACAGAUUUACUGUAAUAUUUUGAAAAUAUGACUGUAAUGAAAUUGGUGUGAUUACAACCUGCAUCUAAUACUCAUUAUUAUUAUUAUUGUGUGUAGCUACUACAAAUCAAGCCCAGUUCCCAAAAAGCCUGUUGUACAGCAGAUGACCCCUUCUGCUGCAAAGAAGAAAAGGGAGCAGUGGAGGGUAAACCAGAGGAACUGGAGGGAAAGAUUAAAGCAGAUCAAUGAAUUAAUGAACGACACUCCUGUCUCAAUGAAUGAGUCUAAUCUUGAAGAACCCCAACCCAGAGAGCCAGAUGACCCUCAAGAGAAUCUCCAGCCACUUGCUUCUUCUUCCCCAGAAAGAAAUGGCAAUGUGCGAACAAAAAAUGCAAACAAAAAUAAACUAAAGAAUGAAAUAGUCAAACUUAAAAGGCAACUUGCUCUGUCAAACAAAAAAAAUGAGAAACUAAGAAAACGUCUGCAAAGGGUUAACAAAACAAAAGUAGUGCACGUCAAUGAGAAACGGAAGUCACGGGGAGCCAAGAAGUUUGCUGCAAGAAAGUUCAAAGAAGAGUCCUACAAAAACCAAUGAAAGAGUUACAUUUACAAUACAAUAAAGAAACCCAAAAGGAACUCACACUGUCAUACAGACAGUUUGUGUGCUUACCUCCCUUCUACAUAACAGAACCUAAAACAAGUGAUCGCAACACAUGCGCCUGUCUUGACCACGAAAACGUCCAGAUGCUUGUGGAGAAACUAUUUCAAAGUGGCUUUGUAAAAGUGGCAAGGAUUUCAGAGUUGUUGGCAUCCAUCGUGUGUGAUCCUCUAGGAAAGGAUUGUAUGUAUCGUGCCUGUGUUAAGUGCUGUUACAAAGAAGUGGAAAUAAAAUCCUCAAGAACAGAACAACACCACCACAUGGCUACAGUGGGAAAGUGUCAAGUUACCCAGUAUAGAAAUAAGCGCAACUUCUAUCUCCUGACCACACUACCGUUUAUUUUGGGGUUCAAGGAGGUGACCUGGAAUUUCUCUGAGAAAGCCCAUGGUAAGGGUGCACCAGAUGGCGUGGGUGGCGCUGUAAAGCGGACAGCUGAUCAGAGGGUGAAAAUGGGUGCUGAUAUUCAGACACCAAAAGAGCUCUAUGAAGCUUUACAGAGCACAGCCUCUGCAAUCAAGUACGUUUGGGUGUCAGCAGAGGACAUCCUAAAACAUGAUGAAGCUGUACCGGAGAAGCUGCCUGUUGUGAAGGGCAAAAUGAAGAUUCACCAGAUUGUGUCUCUUACCCCUGGAUGGUUUAGGCACAGAGAGCUGUCCUGCUUCUGCAGCCGAGGGAAGGGUAUCUACUGUGACUGCUUCAGUCCCAAUGAAGUGGACAUAAAUUGCAUAGAUGUGUGAGAAUUACCC
Long non-coding RNA from Cyprinus carpio carpio, 1797 nucleotides. Lineage: Eukaryota; Metazoa; Chordata; Actinopteri; Cypriniformes; Cyprinidae. The record is from Ensembl.